UACGAAGGUUGCAAGCGUUACUCGGAAUUACUAGGCGUAAAGGGCAUGUAGGUGGUUUGGUAAGUCUAUUGUGAAAGCUCCCGGCUUAACUGGGAGAGGCCAAUGGAUACUGCCAAGCUUGAGUAUAGGAGAGGUUACUGGAAUUCCCGGUGUAGCGGUGAAAUGCGCAGAUAUCGGGAGGAACACCAAUGGCGAAAGCAGGUAACUGGACUAUUACUGACACUCAACUGCGAAAGCUAGGGGAGCAAACAGG
RNAcentral lists this ribosomal RNA (253 nucleotides) under uncultured bacterium. RNAcentral's name for it is "partial 16S ribosomal RNA". It matches the Rfam family "Bacterial small subunit ribosomal RNA", at positions 524 to 776 of the family's 1533-position model. The record is from RNAcentral.